AGGCACAUGACAGUUCCCAGGCUUGGGGUUGAAUCAGAGCUGCAGCUGCUGGCCUACACCACAUCUGCAGCAACGCCAGAUCUGAGCCCCAUCCUUAAUCCACUGAGAGGGGCCAAGGAUCCAACCUGCAUCCUCAUGAAUACUAGUUGGGUUUGUUUCUGCUGAGCCCAAACAAACCCUUAAGAAAGUUUCAGAAUUUGAUUUUGGGGUUCGUGGAAAUUUACUUUUCAUGAAGACAAUUUCUAAGUAUUUGCAUGUUACAUGUGCCAGAAUAUUUUCCUCUAUGUGGAUUGGGUCAAAAAAGAAAAGUGGCAAUUUCCCAUACUGAAAUCACUGAGUAAAGAGACAAAGAUAUCUCAGGCAUGUCCAAAGCUGAUCACAACCAUGUUUCAGAGUCUAGUCCUCAGCUUUGCAGAAACUUUAAUUUUGUCAAGUGCCCAACUCCUAUCAAAUUUUUAGCAACUGCAAAGGUUAAUCAAACUGCUGCUGCUCCUUCUCCUCCUAUUACUAACAGCUAACAUUUAUUGAACACUCUGUGUGUGCUAGACAGUAUGCAAUGUUACAUACUUGGUUUAACUCAUCCAAUACUAACAUCUGAGACAAGGUACUAUUAUUAAAUCACAUUUUGCAGAUGAGCAAGCUGAAGUACCAGGAGAUUCAAAACUUGGUUAAAAGUAGUCAGCUCUUUAAUAGUGGAGCCAAGCUUCAAACCCCACUCUGUCACACUCCGUGACACUUACACUCUUCGUCAUUACACUACACCAUCUCUCCUAAAAUAAGAUUUUUGAACUAAAAUUAUUUUUUUAUUUUUUACUAAAGUAUGGUUGAUUUGUGCCAAUUUCAACUGUACAGGAAAGUGACUUAGUCAGUAUAUACAUAUGCACAUACAUACAUACAUUCUUUUUUUAAAUAUUAUUUUCCAUCAUGGUCUGAACCAGAAGAUCGGAUAUAGCUCCCUGUGCUAUGCAGUAGGACCUUAUUGUUUAUCUAUUUUAAAUGUAAUAGUUUGCAUUUACUAACCCCAAACUCCCAGUCCACCCCACUUCUUUCCCCCUUGAACUAAAAUUAUGUCUGUUAAUUUACAGUAGACGAUAUUAAUUUUCAGGGACUAAUAACUCAGUAGCAAAACAUCAAACAAAGGAAAGUCAAUGGUCUAAGUACAGCUGAGAGGUGGUUAAUUAACAUAGGUUUGCUCCUUCCAAGACAGUGCUAAGUGCUAAACUCUAAGCUAGUCUAGCUCUCUCUAAUUAAGACAUCAAGCUGACCAAGUCCCUUUCAUUACUAUUCUUCCUUUAGAGAAGAAACAACAAAUUGAUUAGUUUAGGGCUUGAUGGCUUUACAGUUUCACACUUUUUAACACAGUCUUUUCUCAGAAAGCCUCACUCUUAAGUUGCUUUAUACUCCCAAACCACCCAUUUGGAUUUCUAUCAUUGGGGCACUCUUGCAUCGCAUUUUUCCUCUUCUUAGUUUUACUCUUGGUCAAAGCCCUGUCAUUCUUUAACAGUAGUUCCCCUCUCUCUCCUAUAUACUUCAGUACUGACUGCAGUCCAGUACUUGGCUAGUGAGAAGUUAAUUUCUUUAUACAAUAUAAAAGUAGUAUAAACAUGCCACUAAGAGUUUUUCCUUCCAGAAUUUCUCAACCUUCUUGAGGGAACAGAAGAUUAUGAAAUGUUGAAAAAAGAAAAGAAAGUUGUGGUUGAAUACAGCUGUUCAGAUUGACCUACAGCACAAACAUACACAGUGCAUACGGAAAUACAUCUUAAAAGAUAAAUGUUGGUAAUACUUUUAUAAUAUAAAGAUGAUUUUUAAAUUAAAAACUGAUACCUGUGCAAAAGCUCUAAACUUGUUUUUGUUCUAAAGUUUUCACACCUAAGCCAAAAUGUUUGACAAUGAUUUAAAAAUGAAACUAAGAUGGAGAAUAAAGUAAGAUAAAAAGUGAAUUUUUCUUUAAUGUUUCUCCAGAAAUACUGAACCUAGGAAAGGCAAAUACGUUUUGAAAGCUGCAAUGAAAGGAUUAAGACAUACCCCCCUUCAUAAACUAAUAUUGUUGAUAUUUAAUAACCAUAACUUGAGAAUUAUUUAGUAGGUCAUGUUAGGAAAUACUAGAAUAUUCACUGAAUCAAAUUAAGUAACUUUCACAUUCAAAUUGAAUCUGGGAAUGUGAUCUUAAUUUAAUAUGAAAUUUAUGUAGGUGAAACUGAUUUCAAAAGAAUCAGCAGAAAUAAAAACAACUCUUAAAAAAAAAAACUCCCUAAUUUAUAUUGACAUGUAAUUGGUUACAUGCUCUUAAAGAAAGUGUUCAGUACAACUGUACAAAAGCAGUAUACAGUACUAUUAUUUUUUCACAGCAACCAGGUUAGCAAAGCUCAGCCUAGAAUUGGCCUUCCUUUAAUAGAAAUAAAUAAUACUUAGCUAAAAAGAUAGGCAAGCCAAUCAGGGUUUUCCUUAAAUGUGCUUGAAAGCAAUUUGUUAUAGGUUGGAUAAUUGCUUCUUUUCGUACUGUUUACAUUAUUAUAUUCUUAGGAAUUCUCUUUUGUACAAUAGACUUGUAUUCAGAGUGAAAAAAUAUUUAUUGAGGCCUAUUAGGAGCUAUGCAUAUAAUAAGUACUCUCAGUAAAUUACCUAUGUUUUGUCCAACAGUAAUUGUCAUUAAAUUCUUUUUUUUGUCAUUAAAUUCUUAACAGAAUAAAGUUUAAUUAGUGAGGCUUUACAAAAUUGAUAUUCUUUCUAUAUAAAGAAUAUAAAAAGAUCUUUAUUGUUUAAUCCUUUCCAGAAGAAUCUUGAUAAGUAGAUAAGGAAAAAUCAAUAAGGUGAAACAAACAUAAACUGUACAGAACUUCUAUUUUCUUGCUAGAGAUUUUCUAGAGAUAGACCGAUUCCUUCCAUAAUUUGAAAACUGAAAAAAAAACUAUAAAUUUGUAGCAUUACCUGAGAGAAUCCAUACUUUAUUCACCCAAAUAAAGGCUUAUUUAAGUCUCCUUUCUCCUAUACUCUGUAUACCACAUCUACACAUACACGCCAAGUGAAGUUAAAACAGAUGAAAAAAAAAUACAAAUACCUAAAAAUUUCCUCUUUUUUGUGGAACAUUUACAACUCGUGUAUCCUGUUUAUAGUGUAAUGCCUUUUUCUUACAAGUGGUAAAAAAAAGAAGUUAAAUAUGUAUUUACAGCGUUGGUGUCUGGCAAAUGCAUUGCAUAAAAUCGAAACUGGAUUUUUAGCGAUUCUAACAUAAAGAUUUUCAGAUAUUUGAUAUACAGAGUGGUUGAGCAUCAAGGCUGCUACUCAGAAAAGACUUCUAAAGUCCCAGUCCUCACGAACUGAGACUCAGGGGAUGAUACAAUACAAAGCAGAAAGCACUAGAAAGGAAGCACAAAUGUUACCCCGUGCUUCAAAUGCAAAUUUCAGAAUUGCCAUACCAAAAUGAUUUAAGGAUUUAGGGUUUUGUCAUAAUUUUAGCAUAAUGGGGUGAAAAAACCCUCUAUUCCUUUGUUCCCCAGACUCCAAGAACUCGGACCAUGUUGGUGAAAAUUGGUGACUGGUUCUGAGGGGGGCUGGAGGGUCGGUGCAGGGCGGGCGGUCCCUGGGGGUGGUUGCCCCUUUUGAGGCCUAUGGUGUAGACACCAAUACUCAGAACGCCGGGGUUCCCUGGCUAAACUCACGAUUACCUCUGAUGAGCCCCAAAGAUCAAUGAGUAUCACUCUAGGCCUGGUCCCCCAGCAGAAAGGCGGCGACGGCGCAACAUCAGCGGUUAAAUUUUACAGACUUUCAUAAGGCCGGUCUAGUGCACCUGUAACAAGAUUACUAGGGCCGAGGGGCCGUAUCUGGGAAAAUGAAAGGAUGGAAGGAGAGGGAAGGAAAAUGAGGAGGGCACAGAGAAAAGGGGGAGGGGAGGGGGCGGGACAACGCAGGGAAGGCCACGGGUUUAUGGACGAGAUCGUGGAGUUGCCAUGGAAACGUAUCCCUCCGCCCGUGAUCCGCGUCUUAGCCCCCUCAGUUCCCUCCGCGCGGCUUCUCAUCUGUUU
This 4022-nucleotide long non-coding RNA is filed under the name Sus scrofa (pig). RNAcentral's name for it is "lncRNA (ENSSSCG00015045604.1)". Lineage: Eukaryota; Metazoa; Chordata; Mammalia; Artiodactyla; Suidae. The record is from RNAcentral.